AUUGAACGCUGGCGGCAGGCUUAACACAUGCAAGUCGAGCGGAGAUGAGGUGCUUGCACCUUAUCUUAGCGGCGGACGGGUGAGUAGUGCUUAGGAAUCUGCCUAUUAGUGGGGGACAACAUUCCGAAAGGAAUGCUAAUACCGCAUACGUCCUACGGGAGAAAGCAGGGGAUCUUCGGACCUUGUGCUAAUAGAUGAGCCUAAGUCGGAUUAGCUAGUUGGUGGGGUAAAGGCCUACCAAGGCGACGAUCUGUAGCGGGUCUGAGAGGAUGAUCCGCCACACUGGGACUGAGACACGGCCCAGACUCCUACGGGAGGCAGCAGCGGGGAAUAUUGGACAAUGGGGGGAACCCUGAUCCAGCCAUGCCGCGUGUGUGAAGAAGGCCUUAUGGUCGUAAAGCACUUUAAGCGAGGAGGAGGCUACUGAGACUAAUACUCUUGGAUAGUGGACGUUACUCGCAGAAUAAGCACCGGCUAACUCUGUGCCAGCAGCCGCAGUAA
This 501-nucleotide ribosomal RNA is filed under the name uncultured bacterium. RNAcentral describes it as "partial 16S ribosomal RNA". It matches the Rfam family "Bacterial small subunit ribosomal RNA", at positions 30 to 523 of the family's 1533-position model. The record is from RNAcentral.